Molecule: ribosomal RNA, 567 nt
Filed under: Virgibacillus sp.
Lineage: Bacteria; Bacillati; Bacillota; Bacilli; Caryophanales; Bacillaceae
Description: bacterial SSU rRNA
Rfam family: Bacterial small subunit ribosomal RNA
Source: RNAcentral
UACGUAGGGGGCAAGCGUUGUCCGGAAUUAUUGGGCGUAAAGCGCGCGCAGGCGGUCUUUUAAGUCUGAUGUGAAAGCCCACGGCUUAACCGUGGAGGGCCAUUGGAAACUGGAGGACUUGAGUACAGAAGAGGAGAGUGGAAUUCCACGUGUAGCGGUGAAAUGCGUAGAGAUGUGGAGGAACACCAGUGGCGAAGGCGACUCUCUGGUCUGUAACUGACGCUGAGGUGCGAAAGCGUGGGUAGCGAACAGGAUUAGAUACCCUGGUAGUCCACGCCGUAAACGAUGAGUGCUAGGUGUUAGGGGGUUUCCGCCCCUUAGUGCUGCAGUUAACGCAUUAAGCACUCCGCCUGGGGAGUACGGCCGCAAGGCUGAAACUCAAAAGAAUUGACGGGGACCCGCACAAGCGGUGGAGCAUGUGGUUUAAUUCGAAGCAACGCGAAGAACCUUACCAGGUCUUGACAUCCUCUGACGGCCCUAGAGAUAGGGAGUUCCCUUCGGGGACAGAGUGACAGGUGGUGCAUGGUUGUCGUCAGCUCGUGUCGUGAGAUGUUGGGUUAAGUCCCG